Talpa occidentalis (Iberian mole) is the source of this 442-nucleotide long non-coding RNA. RefSeq lists it as uncharacterized. The record is from RefSeq and is a predicted model, not a curated record. The transcript has 3 exons. NCBI's taxonomy places the organism in Eukaryota, Metazoa, Chordata, Mammalia, Eulipotyphla, Talpidae.
CCCCCGCCCUGUAACACCAGGACCGCUCUGGUGCCGCGCUGGCCCAGCCUCAACAGAGGGUCCAGAACCCAGAAGCCACACUUCAUUUUCCACUGCCCCACAAAGAGGGGCUUUUCCCCCUCAGGCUGGCAGAGAAAUCUGGCUUAGUAUAUCAGGAGAGAAAUGGAGAUGACGACUGUGCCUACUUCCCAGGGCAGAAAGAUGAUGUGAGGCUGGGUCUACAGAGCCCUGAAGAAGGGAGAGAGCAGCUAAAGGAAAGAUGAACCCCCUCAUCAGAGGGCACAUUGGCAUCACUGUCAUGAGGACAGAAUACCAGCUCUGCCACUUACCAGACACGAGCCUCUGCCAAGCUCAUAAAGCUUCUGAAGCCAGAUUUUCCCAUUUGUAAAACAGGGAUAACAAGCCCCACAUCAGAGAGUUAUGAAUGAACCCACUCACAGAG